RNAcentral lists this unclassified non-coding RNA (372 nucleotides) under uncultured Gammaproteobacteria bacterium. RNAcentral's name for it is "contains 16S-23S intergenic spacer region". The record is from RNAcentral. Lineage: Bacteria; Pseudomonadati; Pseudomonadota; Gammaproteobacteria.
UCCGGUUUGUCACCGGCAGUCUCAUUAGAGUGCCCUUUCGUAGCAACUAAUGACAAGGGUUGCGCUCGUUGCGGGACUUAACCCAACAUCUCACGACACGAGCUGACGACAGCCAUGCAGCACCUGUGUUCCGGUUCUCUUACGAGCACUCCUAAAUCUCUUCAGGAUUCCAGACAUGUCAAGGGUAGGUAAGGUUCUUCGCGUAGCAUCGAAUUAAUCCACAUCAUCCACCGCUUGUGCGGGUCCCCGUCAAUUCCUUUGAGUUUUAAUCUUGCGACCGUACUCCCCAGGCGGUCAACUUCUCGCGUUAGCUACGCUACCAAGUCCCGAAGAACCCAACAGCUAGUUGACAUCGUUUAGGGCGUGGACUAC